CCCCUCAAUAUAGCAAUCGUAAAAGAUAUAUCAAUUUGGUCAUUGAAAAAAUAUUGCUAUUCAAGUAUUUCACAAUUUAAAAGUAAUUCAAGUUGAUCACAUUCAGAGAUAUUCAUUGAAAGUCAAAGUGUAUAUAUAUAUUCAAAAGAUCUUUGAGUACAAAGAUGUUUUAAUACAUAAAUGUUGACUUAGAGUACAAAAGACAUGGAUAGAAACUAUCCAAAAGUCAAACAGUCAACAUAGCAUUACAUGGCCUACAAGAUAUAUCCUAG
RNAcentral lists this long non-coding RNA (272 nucleotides) under Elaeis guineensis (African oil palm). RNAcentral describes it as "long non-coding RNA (EGUI_LNC057254)". Lineage: Eukaryota; Viridiplantae; Streptophyta; Magnoliopsida; Arecales; Arecaceae. The record is from RNAcentral.